Molecule: unclassified non-coding RNA, 316 nt
Filed under: plant metagenome
Description: partial contains 5.8S ribosomal RNA, internal transcribed spacer 2, and large subunit ribosomal RNA
Rfam family: 5.8S ribosomal RNA (bases 1-105)
Source: RNAcentral
GAAAUGCGAUAAGUAGUGUGAAUUGCAGAAUUCCGUGAAUCAUCGAGUCUUUGAACGCACAUUGCGCCCCCCGGUAUUCCGGGGGGCAUGCCUGUCCGAGCGUCAUUGCUGCCCAUCAAGCACGGCUUGUGUGUUGGGUCGUCGUCCCCUCUCCGGGGGGGACGGGCCCCAAAGGCAGCGGCGGCACCGCGUCCGAUCCUCGAGCGUAUGGGGCUUUGUCACCCGCUCUGUAGGCCCGGCCGGCGCUUGCCGAACGCAAAUCAAUCUUUUUCCAGGUUGACCUCGGAUCAGGUAGGGAUACCCGCUGAACUUAAGC